RNAcentral lists this ribosomal RNA (487 nucleotides) under uncultured bacterium. RNAcentral describes it as "bacterial SSU rRNA". It matches the Rfam family "Bacterial small subunit ribosomal RNA", at positions 30 to 507 of the family's 1533-position model. The record is from RNAcentral.
UGAACGCUAGCUACAGGCUUAACACAUGCAAGUCGAGGGGAAACGACAUCGAAAGCUUGCUUUGAUGGGCGUCGACCGGCGCACGGGUGAGUAACGCGUAUCCAACCUGCCCACCACCUGGGGAUAACCUUGCGAAAGUAAGACUAAUACCCAAUGAUAUCCCACGAAGGCAUCCGAAUGGGAUUAAAGAUUUAUCGGCAACGGAUGGGGAUGCGUCUGAUUAGGUUGUUGGCGGGUAACGGCCACCAAGCCCACGAUCAGUAGGGGUUCUGAGAGGAAGGUCCCCCACAUUGGAACUGAGACACGGUCCAAACUCCUACGGGAGGCAGCAGUGAGGAAUAUUGGUCAAUGGGCGGAAGCCUGAACCAGCCAAGUAGCGUGCAGGACGACGGCCCUAUGGGUUGUAAACUGCUUUUAUGCGGGGAUAAAGUGGGCCACGUGUGGCCUUUUGCAGGUACCGCAUGAAUAAGGACCGGCUAAUUCCGUG